This 76-nucleotide non-coding RNA is filed under the name chicken gut metagenome. The record is from RNAcentral.
CUGCUAUCGGAAGGUGGCACUGAACAUGCAGAAGUCAGUAGAGGCCAUACUAGCUGAGAUUUUUUCAGUGAAGGGC